This is a long non-coding RNA of Felis catus (domestic cat), 2215 nucleotides long. RefSeq lists it as uncharacterized. The transcript is spliced from 5 exons. The record is from RefSeq and is a predicted model, not a curated record. Lineage: Eukaryota; Metazoa; Chordata; Mammalia; Carnivora; Felidae.
CCUGGGAUCAUGACCUGAGCCGAAAUUGAGAGUCAGAUGCCCAAUGGACUGAGCCCCCCCAGGGACACAAUCAAGACAGUCCCCCGAGGGGAGUGUUCCCGGCCGGAACGUAAACACACCCUAGCAGGCAUAAGCAGCGGCAAGGCAUCCGGGACCCUCGCCUCUCCCAGCCCAGGACUCAGGCGGGAUGGGGCCGCGAAGCGCGGAGCUCAGCCAGAGGCUACAAGCUCACACUCGCGAGCAGGAGGCAGCCUGCACGUGAUGGACAAAAUUCCCGUCCAAAGACCAAAGCACCUUUGAGCAUUAUCUGCAGUAUUCCGCCAUUUGCACACAUACCGCGGCUGAGGAAGCACUGAACAACCAGAAACAGCUGUUCAUAUAUCUUCCUCCUGUCAACUCGCUCCCAGUCCUUCUCAGAGAGGAGACCAGAGGUCUUCACAGAGGACCCUCGAGGGGACAGAGGGACAGUGUCUGCAAACAAGAAACUGAGGGCUCCUGCUUCCCAGGAGGAUGGAAUGAGAGCCGCCAUUGAAUCUGGAGCUCCAUUAACCAUUGUCUUAUCCAGUGAAGACCAUCCUGAGGGACGGCCAAGAACAUGACUGGGUGGUGAAGGAGGAGGAGGCACGGUACAGGUAUAGACAGCAUUCAAGGGGAGGCCUUAUUGCCUGGAGGCCAGAGCGUUUGUAUUUUUUUUUUUUUCUUACUUCCUGAGAAGGAAACCGACAUGACGGAUCUGAGUCUUGCCUGUAUUCAGCCGUGUCCAUGUCAGUCUCUAAAUGGAUGCCUAAGCACUGAUUUAGUUGAGUCCUAUGUCUUCCCUCUCGUCUCCUCAAAUCCUGUGCUGUCGGCCGUGUGUGCCCUCCGGGGCCUCCACCCCAUGUGCCCACAGCCCAAAUCUGUUCUCCAGGAUCGCCACGCCAUGUCCUCCUCUGUGUAUUUACAACCCCUGUGCCGGUGACCCAUGUCUGUCAUCGUGUUUUUCUAAUCCCUCUGCCAGCAGUUCUUGACAGUCUCAAAAGUCUGCGUUCCCUGUGCCUGCACCCUCUGCCAGCCCACGUGAUGCUUCAUCCCUUUUCACAGUCCCAUCAUGGAACUCAUUUCACCGUCUCUUCAUCCCCACGGCCCAGGACAGUUCAUGUGUUUCUCCUGGCAGGAGCUGAGCUGACCUUGGGGAGAGACAUCUGAGUUGCCAGGUGUCAGAGUAGCAGACAAAGCAUCAAGUCAAAAAUGAAAGAGUUAAGCCUAUAAUGACUUAUUGUGGUGGCACAAGCAAGAGCCUUAGCCGCAGAAGUUCUGACUCCCCCACCCCCCACCCCGUUCUAUUCCUCAUCACCUGGGAUGUUGUACAGAUCACGGAUCGGGUGAACACAAAUGUGGGCUUGGUCUCACUGUUGAGGAAACCCCAAACAAAAGGUGGGGCAUUUUCACAGACCCUUGGGCUGGAGGGAGAGUGACAAGUGCUAGGGGCAGGAAAGCACUGGGCACUGUGUCAGAGUUGGACAAGCGUUUUCAGGGUUUUCCCGUCUUCUCCCCCGGGGAGGGGAUCUCAGCAGAAUCAACUGGAGAGGAGCUCAUCCCCAGACGCAGGUGAAGAGAAGCAUAUGUGUUGUAGGAGAUGUUGUCCUUCCCUGAGGUUUCUUAUGCUGAAAUCCAAGCACUUGCCAAGCACCAGAUUCCUGAGUGGCACCAUCAUUUAGUUAUGAGUGGAGAAAUGGGAUCACACAAAGAACUUUCGGAGAAUUGGUCCACAGUGACCACCCGCCAUCUGCCCCACCUCCUUGGAGGUUCACGUCAGCCUUCCCUCGGAUACGGAUUUCUGGGUUUCCUGAGUCUAAUGAAAAAGGAGAGUCAUUCACACAGACACAGGACUCCUUCAUGUGCCUUCUUCUCCCAGCAGGUGUGAGGGGGAGUCAUAACCACCAGGUCAAACAGAGUCCUCACCCUGUGUGACCUCUCCUUCCUGCCUGUCCUGCACACUCUCCCGAGGACCCAACCCCAGGAGGGCAUCCUCAGGCAAGGCAAGUGAGGUGGUCUUGAUCGACUCAUUGGGGAGACUUCCAUGAAGCCUGUCACAAUGUGUUCCGGAAGCAAAGUCACACAAAGUCCUAACCCCAACGGACACCAGAAUCGAUGCUAUGGCAACACCCUCUGUGGCACACAGAGUUGCAUGUGGAAAAGGAAGUAUGCUUGUCUCUCAAAAAUAUGAAUUUCUGGG